Molecule: long non-coding RNA, 199 nt
Organism: Colossoma macropomum (tambaqui)
Lineage: Eukaryota; Metazoa; Chordata; Actinopteri; Characiformes; Serrasalmidae
Exons: 2
Source: RefSeq, a predicted model, not a curated record
UGCUGUUUUUUGAAGGAGGGGAGAGUUUUAAGAUGUCAGAGAAAGAUUAUGAAAAUGUUGAAAAAAUGUUGGAAUUUGGGGCCCAAGUGUUUUUGAACUGGUUGGACAAAGUCAGAGAUGUAACUGAAAGAAUGGUGAGAGAAAACCAGCUGAGAACAACCAGAAUUGCAAUCCAAGGUCACUGGAAUUCUUUCAAAGA